This 107-nucleotide small nuclear RNA is filed under the name Hordeum vulgare. RNAcentral's name for it is "U5 spliceosomal RNA". It matches the Rfam family "U5 spliceosomal RNA". Rfam says of the family: U5 RNA is a component of both types of known spliceosome. The precise function of this molecule is unknown, though it is known that the 5' loop is required for splice site selection and p220 binding, and that both the 3' stem-loop and the Sm site are important for Sm protein binding and cap methylation. Lineage: Eukaryota; Viridiplantae; Streptophyta; Magnoliopsida; Poales; Poaceae. The record is from RNAcentral.
UCAUGAGCACAGAGCGAACAGCGAACUAUUCUUUCGCCUUUUACUAAAGAAUACCAUAUGCACAUCAUACACUUAUUUUUGAAGGGAACCUACUCCCUAAGUGGGUU